Molecule: ribosomal RNA, 301 nt
Filed under: uncultured bacterium
Lineage: Bacteria
Description: partial 16S ribosomal RNA
Rfam family: Bacterial small subunit ribosomal RNA
Source: RNAcentral
CAGUCGCCGCGGUAAUACAGAGGGUGCAAGCGUUAAUCGGAAUUACUGGGCGUAAAGCGUGCGUAGGCGGCUUCUUAAGUCGGAUGUGAAAUCCCUGAGCUUAACUUAGGAAUUGCAUUCGAUACUGGGAAGCUAGAGUAUGGGAGAGGAUGGUAGAAUUCCAGGUGUAGCGGUGAAAUGCGUAGAGAUCUGGAGGAAUACCGAUGGCGAAGGCAGCCAUCUGGCCUAAUACUGACGCUGAGGUACGAAAGCAUGGGGAGCAAACAGGAUUAGAUACCCCCGUAGUCCCUGUCUCUUAUAC